CUGCAGCUCAAGUGGUGACCACUAUUAUUGGGCCUAAAACGUUCGUAGCCGGUUUGGUAAAUGCCUGGGUAAAUCGUGUAGCUUAACUAUACGAAUUCCGGGUAGACUGCCAAACUUGAGACCGGGAGAAGCUAGGUACUCCUGGGGUAGAGGUGAAAUUCUGUAAUCCUGGGGGGACCACCAGUGGCGAAGGCGUCUAGCUAGAACGGGUCUGACGGUGAGGAACGAAGCCCUGGGGCGCAAACCGGAUUAGAUACCCGAGUAGUCC
Molecule: ribosomal RNA, 268 nt
Filed under: uncultured archaeon
Lineage: Archaea
Description: partial 16S ribosomal RNA
Rfam family: Archaeal small subunit ribosomal RNA
Source: RNAcentral